ACGUUCUUAACUGCUCCGUUUUUCAUCUCUGCUUUGGGCUCCCGCCUUCUCCGUUCGCUUUGCCCAUUCCGUUUCAGCCAGUCGCCAGGAAUCAUGAAAGUAGCCAGUGGUAGCACCGCCGCCGCCGCAGGCCCCAGCUGCGCGCUGAAGGCCGGCAAGGCAGCGGGCGGCGCGGGCGAGGUGGUGCGCUGCCUGUCUGAGCAAAGCGUGGCCAUCUCGCGCUGCGCCGGGGGCGCCGGGGCGCGCCUGCCUGCCCUGCUUGACGAGCAGCAGGUGAACGUGCUGCUCUACGACAUGAACGGCUGCUACUCACGCCUCAAGGAGCUGGUGCCCACUCUGCCCCAGAACCGCAAAGUGAGCAAGGUGGAGAUCCUCCAGCACGUCAUCGACUACAUCAGGGACCUGCAGUUGGAGCUGAAUUCGGAAUCCGAAGUCGGGACCCCCGGGGGCCGAGGGCUGCCGGUCCGGGCUCCACUAAGCACCCUCAACAGCGAGAUCAGCGCCCUGACGGCCGAGGCGGCAUGCGUUCCUACGGACGAUCGCAUCUUGUGUGGCUGA
Molecule: RNA transcript, 558 nt
Organism: Piliocolobus tephrosceles (Ugandan red Colobus)
Lineage: Eukaryota; Metazoa; Chordata; Mammalia; Primates; Cercopithecidae
Gene name: DNA-binding protein inhibitor ID-1 pseudogene
Exons: 1
Source: RefSeq, a predicted model, not a curated record